This is a long non-coding RNA of Alexandromys fortis (reed vole), 7083 nucleotides long. RefSeq lists it as uncharacterized. The record is from RefSeq and is a predicted model, not a curated record. The transcript has 3 exons. NCBI's taxonomy places the organism in Eukaryota, Metazoa, Chordata, Mammalia, Rodentia, Cricetidae.
CACACACACACACACGAGGAUGCUAACACAGAGAUACAAAUGCUCAUAAAUAAAAAAAAUAAUCUUUUAAAAAGUCAUGUGAUACACUUCACCUUGCUCAGGUGCCGUAGUACGGUGCUUGUUACAGCCCCAUCCACAUUUGUUACUAUUUUCCCUAUUGCUAACAUGCUGAUUCUCAGAGCCAGUAUCUUUUUGAAGAAACCUGGCAGGAAACACACGUCUGCCUGAGAUCUCAAUUUGUCUUUUGCAUGCUAAGGGAUGUAGCUCCUCACACGGUGCCUUUCAUUGUCAAGCCCAGAAGAUCUCCGUAGUUAGAGAAUCUGAGGAUAAAACAGGAAUGGGAAAAUCCUACGAAAACAGGUACCGUCCCCAGUACCUCUGUGUCCUGACAAAAGAGCGACUCUCUUACCGUGAUUAGUUCAAACCAGUGAAUUAAGCCCAGAGGAAUCACUUUCAAAUAAGACUCUAAUUUCAGGGACCCAAGGAGGCCUGCAUUUUAAUAAGAUAUUUCAUUGUUAUCCCAAAUACAAAACCAUUGUUUGCCUGACUCUAUAAUUUAUUGUUAGACAGACGCUGCGCUAUUACUGUAGCAAAAUGAAACACGCAAUGAUCUCGCUAAUAAAACAAUUGGAUCAUAAGGCAAAACGGGGCUCGGCAUUUUAGAUAGAGCCCAAUGCCCCUGGGUGGUGCUCUGCAUAGUCUAAUAUUCCCAGCUGGAAUUUCACCUUUCUCUACUCUUCUGAGAAGAAAAUCGCUGCAAUAGCCUGCUAACGAUACCAUUAUAGUCUCCCCAACUUAAUCCUUUGUUCCUCCUGAAGAAAAGGCUGCUUGCCGGUUAUGAAUAUUCUCCAUGACAAAUUCUAUCAAUUAACACACUAGCGUGUUCUUGCUGGGUAGUAAGAGCUUCUUGAUUAACAUUAGAAGGUAUAUAUUUUGCACACCAUAGGCAAAGCUAUUCCUUCCUCUAGAAAGGGAGAAAAGUUUAGAAAGGUUGGGGAGGGGUGUGGAUGACUUGGAAAUAACAUGGUCCACUCUCUCCCCCUCACAGUUUCUCUGUGUUCCUUUAAGGACAGCAAGGGAGUGCUCCUCAUCAUUUUUGUCUUUUACUCUUCUGGGGAAAGCUUAGCUGAGCUGAUCUCUCCCAUGGAGGCUACUUUAGUUGUUCAGGAAACCCAAAGCUGAAACUUGCCUUUUUUCUAACACCCAAGAGGCGAACGAUGGCUCUGUUUCCAUCCGUUGAGUACAGUGAGGUAGAUUUGAGGUAUUUGGUGGGUGAUAAAGACAGAAAGGGUGGGCUGAUUCAGAGACAGCCCCCCCCCCCAUCCCGUCCCCUAGCAGUUAUGAGAGAACAGAGGGCAGUGGCUGUCGAUGGUCCUCCCUGAGUCCUGAGGGUCAGUUUUAUACUCAAGACAUCCAGUCAGCUGGGAGCCUGGACAGUGAGGCUGCUGGCUACAUCUGAUGGAGCUUCUAGAAGCAGGUCCUACUCUAUUCCUAAGUCUGCUCAGAGCCAUAGAUGGCCCUGCCGGGACUGAGAUGUGAUGGAGGUGGGUCUUGUAAUAAUAAAGAAACUGCCUCGGCCCUCAUAGGACAGAAAAUUAGGUAGGUGGAGUAUACAGAAGAGAAUGCUGGGAGAAAGAAGCUGAGUCAAGGAGUCGCCAUGAUUCUCCCGCUCCAGACAGACGCAGGUUAAGAUCCUCCCUGGUCUGUUCCACACUACUGUGCCGGGAGGCUGAACACUCAUCCCCACAGUCGCUGAUCAGAGGAUUCGGGGUCCAGCGCCCUCUCCAGGUGCUAUGUCCAGAAGCUCAUGCUCUUCCUGUCUCACCGUCUGCUCUGGUUUUAGUGCAGUUUUGUCUGGUACCAGCAGUUACCUGCCAAUCUGGAAGACUCUAGUCUCAGGGCUGAAACUGACUAGCUGCCAAUGACGAAGCCAACUCUCUACCUCCUCUUUAGUCCUUGGCUAAACAGGAUGAAGAUGCUGGUUCCCCGGGGAGAGGUCACCAGCUGCCUUCUUGCCCCUGUCUUCCCUUCCCUGAGCACAGACGUUGGGCCCAUACAAGGUUGAAAUGAAAUGAAUCAGGGGCCGGUAAGAUGGCUUAGCAUGUAAAAGCGUUAGCUACUCAGAACUGACAACCUGUGUUCGAUCCCUAGAACCCACACAAAAAUCUGGGUGUGGAACCACUCAUCUCUACCCCUACUACUCCUAAGAGGGAAUGGGAGGCAGAGGAGAGGCAAAGACGGGAUUAUGAGGAAGUUCCAGCAGGGUCAGAAACAAGAGAGACAGAGAGACCCUGCCUGACCAAGGGAGAGAGAAAACACCCUUGGAAUCUGCCCUCUGACCUCCAUCUGUGUGCUGUAGCAUAUGCGCAUGCAUACAAAAUGACACAAAUAAGCAUGAAAAAAAAAAAAGAAAGAAACAGAUCAUACUCUAGCCCUGAGAGUGGGCAUGGCUUCACAUAUAAAGCCUGAGGAUAGAGACAGGCUUUCUCCCCAGCCUGUCCCUCUUUCUCUUCCUUGACCCCAGACCCUAAAGACUCAAGAGUGUGCUCCAGCACUGAGACGCACCCUCUGUCCACCAUUUCGCCUAAAACACCUGAACUGCUGCAACAGAGGGCCGCAGCCACAGCGCUGGCCUCCUGUCUGAGAACCCACCAGCUUCUCCCGACCCACGUGUACAGUCAACCUCCAGGUGCCGGCUGCAUUGCCCUCUAUCUGCACAUGGCUACGGUUCAGCAACUGUCACUUAUACGACAGUCAGUCUGUUCCUUGGAAUGGACAUUAUUCUGAGAGCAUCUGUGGACUGAACUUAAAAAGUUCCAGUAUCCCCUGCUACAAUGGGGCCACAGUUUCCUUUUCCACACUGUCUGUGCUGUGUACUUCCUAACACGGAUGUCUAGGGACGUGCCCUUGUGCACCUGUGUCUCAAGGUGCUCUUCUGACACUCGGGAGCAAACACUGAUUGACAGGGCUGGGUUUUGCUGCGUUUCUGGUAAAACUGUGUCAGGAACGAUUAAACGGUGAGGGCUGGAAAGGAGAUGAUGUCCCUCUCUAGAGACCGUGUCUACAUGCAACUGGGGUCAGUUUAGUGAAAAACACCAGUCAGAGGGGCCAUGUGAUUGAACUGACUGCCAAUUCCCCAGCCAGGGCAGGCAGCCUUGGGCUAUGCGGGAGCAAGGCAGCCAGCCCUUUGCUUCCUUUCCAUUUAAAACACAUCUCAAAGUCUCCAGACCAGAGGUAGAGAUUCAGUUCAAUGCCUUUGGAUUGAUUGAUUAAUUUAAAGCCCCUGAGAGAUCCUGUGGGUUCACAGAUAAAGCCAGACAAGCCGAGAAUUUUCCUGUCUUCCUCAAAAGCGGGAUGUUUCAGCCGCAGCCCCCUAAUUGGAGAUGAUUUACAUUUUUGUCUUGAUCUCUGUAUUGGAGAAGAGGAUGCAUUGUCAUCAGUGGUCACUGGAUUCUGGCUGAGCAGAGCUUCCCAGCUGCAGGCUAUGCCCACAUUCCUAUCUGGUACCGUCCAAGCCUGGAGCAGCGUCCAUGAACCUUCAAGCAGGGCCUCGCUGUUUUAACUCGGGGAUCCAACAAAUCUUGGCAGCAAACAUUAACUCUACCCCGUUCCAGUGGCCUAAGAAGCUGACUGGAAUUCCUCAAGCCUCAGCUGCCAUGGUAGGAAGUGGGGAUAUGACUGAGUUGCUGAGAUCAACGGUAUAGGAAAAAGCCACGUAAAAAAGAUGUCCAAUGAAAGGUACCAAUAACAGCUGGGGAGACAAUUGAUUUGGUAAAGCUGACCUGAGUUUGAUCCCCAGAACUCAUGCUUAAAAGAAAUCUUGCAUGGUUAGUUCCAGGCCAGGGGAGUCAGAGAUGGACUUACCGCCCUGGGACUUACCAAUGGCUUGCUAGUGUCCCUACUUGGUGAACUCUAGGCUACUAAGAAAAAAAAAACCGUGGAAUUCCAAAGGUGAUCAUAUGGGUGGAUGACCUCCACAUGUGUGUAUGUACACAUUCAUGCAUAACUAAGCCUGGAAGAACUGUUGUCGUCGUCGUCCCCCUCACGUGAAAUGUAUUAGUGAUCAUGAAGGUAACUAUCAGGGAGCCAAGUGCAGUCUCAUCAAACAGCACCAGGACAGCAGGGCUGCCAUGAACAUCUGGGUGCUCAUUCCAGAUGUUCUCCUGCAUCUCAAUUGCCUCUGCGUUUUCCUGGAGAGAUGCCUCCUUGUCAUCCAGCAUGGUGAUGCUGAAUGUUGGCUUCCUGGUAAAACCGAAGCCCGAAUCACAUGGUAGUCUCUGAUGCAGUCUACCUGCAGGGUAGCUUCUCCAAGGUCUACCUACGUGCAUGGUCUAAGUCUCUCCAAGGGGGGUCUCUCACCCUGCAAAGAGAUCUCUGGCUAGUGGCUAAGCAUAUAAAGCAAGAAGAAGCAAGACAUGCAGGGAGGGGGUGGUGGAGGGGAAGAGGGGGAGUUAGUAAUACCUUACAAAUUCAAUUUGCAUUCUCCCCUUGAUGUUAGUCCAAUCUGAAUGAGCUUUUCCAAAAUAAGCUGGCCUUUGAAAUCCUCCUGCGUGAUAGAUAGUCUUACACAUUUUAAAACACCAUACCUUUAAUAAACUAACCGGCACAAUGUGGUCUUAACUGGUUCUAGAAUAUUCUGAUAGCAAAACAUUUUCUGUUUCUGGGCCAGAACUGGACAUUUCUUCUUGGGAAUAUGAUGUUUGAAAAUCAGUUCCUCCUAUUAUAGAUUUUCCCCUCAGCUUGUAGAAAAUCCAUGAUUCCCUAAACAUUGGUCUUUGAAAGCACAUUGACUAAAAUCUUCAUGCUUAAUUCAUGAAGCGCAGUCUGGAGAUUAGUGGAGCUGGACAUAGACCGGGAAUACUUUAUCAUAUUCUAAUAAGCAGAGGCUGAAAAUUGCAUUUCUAAAGCUACAGUAUUAAAGGGCAUACCGCAAAACAUGACCCAAACAUAACUCAGUAGUUCUACGGAGCCUGAAAAGGCUUUGAUAUGAUAAAGUAUGCUGACGAUGAGAAUAAACACAACUAGAAAUUUUUGAAUUUAAAAAGGAAAAUAAGGAGGGGGCAUGUGAAACUUGGCAAACAUUUGGUAUAUUUAUGGAAAAAAAAUAUAUAUAUUAUAAACUCAUAUAUUGUGAUUCUUAUAAACAAGUAUGGACAACUGAGUCACGAGGUGGAAGAUCAUUGUAACACCACAGUGUAGGUGUUUGGAAAGGCUAAAAGCAUGAGAGAUGGGAGGAAAAUAAAUAAAGCGAGUGUAAUGAUGUUAAUUUAAAGGGUGCCAGAAAAAUCUUUCUUAAAAUAGGUCACCCCACAAAAUAAUGUGUGUGGUGGGGUCUGGGGGGAGAAGGCUUGAUGGUACACCCGGGUGCUUCUUAUAAAAUGGUGCGCUGUGAAAGACUGUCCUAAUACCUGCAAGAGCCAUCUACAAAAAGGAGGCAGGAUGUAAAAAAUAAAAUAAAAUAAAAAUCAACACUGAGUCCAAAUGAAUAAAUCAGCAGUGCAUACAAUAGGAAGUGCAGCAGUUGGCCUACAGUUGGGACUAAUAGUAUCUGAUAGGCAGAUGGAUAGACGGAUGGAUACCCAAAGGAGGGAGAAAGCAAGUGAAACAGAAACAGAGGGAUGAAAGGACAGAUGGAUAGAUACAUGAAGGAGUGAGAAACCAACAGAAGCAGGGUUAGAUAGACGGAAGGAUGGAAGGAAGAAAGGGAAAUCCAUGAGUAAGUGAGAAGCUAAUGAAAUAGGCCCUGUCUCAUAGGAGCUCACAGGGACUUCGGUCCACCCCACUGAGCGCCUGCUGACUCCCAAGGUGAACUGGCAACUCCAGAACCAGCAUGCUCUGGGAGAACAAGGCACAAGAACUCAGAGCGGAAGGGAUGGUUCUCAAGAGACCAUGACCCUAACAAGUGACCCUUGUAAAACAAGGCCAUAAACAGAACACUUUGAUGAAAAAGGAUCAGAAAGAACAAAGAAUGAAAAACUGCUCAUGUCCCUAAAUGGAGGACCAUCACCUGCCCGACACAAACACUCUUAGUCUACACAUGACACCCUUCGAACACUGAAGUUUGAAGUUACUGCAUUCAGGUUUGGGUCAGCAACCCAUCCACUUGGACUGGGUUAAGGCAUCAGGUCACCUCACUGGCUUGUCAGGAGGAGGUGGCUCUUCUCUGCUCAGUGUGAAGGACCCUGCUUAUGCCUGCUAGGGGGUCUGAGUGGGGAAAAGGGUAAAUUAAGGACCUCAUUCUUGAGACGUGCAGCCUCGGAAACAGCCACAGGAAGGAGUGAGAGAAUGCCUUUUCUGCAAAGGCGUGGCCUGCCCUUGUUCAUGGUCCCAACAAAAACACUCUUCUGCUGGAGGGAGGUCCUGUGACGGCCACCUGGGUGUAUGACAGAUGAGAGACACCGAGAAGCCUAUGAUAAAGGACAGGCUCUGGUUCCGGGGUCAGCAAGGAGAAAAGGACACAUUUUCUGUUGUCGUUGCCGUGGCGGUAUCUCUGAACCCGGAGUUUCCCAGCCUUCUGGGACUCUUCUACCUAAUUCCAGUUCUACUUUGGUGGCCAUGAUGGGAGUGAAGGACAUGCCUACACCCUUGGUGGCUGAGCUCCUGUAGCAGGCCCCGACGUCAAGCCUCAAGCCUUCUGAUGAAGCAUUCCUCCCCUCCAGACAUCUCUAGCUCCCUGGGCACUAGCUCUUUGACAGUGAGGCUGGGGUUGCAGUGAAAUGAAAUCUCGGCUUCCCUGAGAGACCCACUCUUCUUCUUCCCUUAAUUAUCAUUCCUUACUUGCAAGAUGCAUCGGCUGCUAUUUAAAUAAACAAUGGGGGAUUUGGAACAGAGAAACUAUGGAAAUGAAGUUGCUUUAAUUUACAUCCCAAGGGAACGGGGCUGUGGAGUUGUGUGAAUGCCAAAUAAAUAAAUAAACACUUUAAAUAAGUGUCAAGUUGGGGAUAGCCUGAGUUGUAAAGGGGACAAAGGAGCCAAGGGUGGCCUGUGCAAAUUAGAUCUUGCACUGAGCAUGUGAUAUCCAGGGCUCCUUCACAAGUGGAAGACAGAAAUGCAGUGGGAAUAUCAGCCUCUUAGGGCAACAGA